UACGUAGGGGGCUAGCGUUGUCCGGAAUCAUUGGGCGUAAAGAGCGUGUAGGCGGCCCGGUAAGUCCGCUGUGAAAGUCCAGGGCUCAACCCUGGAAUGCCAGUGGAAACUGUCGGGCUGGAGUCCGGAAGAGGCGAGUGGAAUUCCUGGUGUAGCGGUGAAAUGCGCAGAUAUCAGGAGGAACACCAAUGGCGAAGGCAGCUCGCUGGGACGGUACUGACGCUGAGACGCGAAAGCGUGGGGAGCAAACAGG
RNAcentral lists this ribosomal RNA (253 nucleotides) under uncultured bacterium. RNAcentral's name for it is "partial 16S ribosomal RNA". It matches the Rfam family "Bacterial small subunit ribosomal RNA", at positions 524 to 776 of the family's 1533-position model. The record is from RNAcentral.